Molecule: long non-coding RNA, 3050 nt
Organism: Acanthochromis polyacanthus (spiny chromis)
Lineage: Eukaryota; Metazoa; Chordata; Actinopteri; Pomacentridae
Exons: 4
Source: RefSeq, a predicted model, not a curated record
UGUCAGUGACCAUGACUCCUUCUGCAGAGGUGACAGAAGGUCAGAGAGUCACUCUGACCUGCAGCACCAGCUGUCCUCUGACUGACAACAACAACUACAUCUGGUACCUGAACAGUCGGUUUCUGAGCCAAAACAAACACCUGGUUCUGGAGCCAGUCAGCCUUCAGCAUGCAGGAAACUACUCCUGUGCUGUGAAAGCCCACGAAAACAUGACAUCAGCUGAAGAGGCUCUCACUGUUCGAGCCCGGGAUAAAACAAUGGCAGCGAUAAAUGCAUUAAAAGCUGGCAUAUUACUACUGAUCCCGCUCGCUGGAUUUCUCUUCUACCUGAGGAUGAGAAAGAAGAAAACCAUGACAACUGAGCAAAGUGGCAAAGUGCAAACUGGACAGGGUGACCACAUGAGUGAGAACAUCGCACUCAUGGAUUUGAACCCAGCAGCGCAGAGAGAACCAGCAGAGCAGCAGGAAGACAAAGUGUAAUAUAGGGUGAUAGGCAGAGUGCAGAGAGAACGCCAGCCUUAUUCUUCAGGUUUCAAGUGAGAAAGUCAUGAUCUGAGACUGUGUGAAUACUUCGGUAAAAUUCAUGUGUGUGUGCACUCAGAAGGAAGGCCCAAACUUAUGUAAGCUUUAAUCUUCCUCCUGCUUUCGCAACCACUGAGUGACAGAUGUGGUGAUGUUAUCUAUAGCAGAUUCUCACAUCCGUUUCUAAUGCUGUCCGUGGUUAAAGUUUGACAGAUGUUCUUAACUUCCCGUUCCAAAAGAAGCAAAUUGCAACAUAUUUCUUUCACUGACAGUAAACAAAUUUACUGAGUUUUACAUUCCAACAGUUUUCAUGAUUGAAUCUUUUACUUGUUAUAUUUUGCAUGUUAUAAUGCCCUAUUAGUUUCAUUACUGCUAAUUCUACUUAGUUAAGUUUUUUUUUUUAUUAGAAGUGUUUCAAUAUAACCGUCUACCAGACUCUGUGUAUUCAUUCCUCCUCGUACAUAUCCUUUUGUUGCUAUUACAUAAUGCCAUUUUAACUGGAUUUGUACUAUGUAAAAUCUGAAACUUUUCUCAAAGCAUUUCCUAUGAACCCAUCAACUGUCACGCUUUCUAUCUAAGGGCUAAUUUCUGCUGCUGAAUUCAGAUUACUAUCAGUUGAGACACCUAGAAAGCUAAACCACAGAUGGUGUACAUAACCUAAGCUGCUAAAGAAUACAUGACAUGUGAACUAUUGAGAUAAGGUCUGAAACUCUUGCCUUCUGUUUUGAUCAUUAGACAUUCAGUAAAUGGUUCUGGUCACUGCUUACCAAUAUGUUGCAUUUUACUGAUCAGGAGAGCGAAACAAGCAUCAUGUGGAGACUAAACGCCGUUCCAUUUCUGUGCGGCACGUUUAACUUGACUGCAGUUCUGCUUUCUGGUAUGGUGCCCAACACAAGAGGGACUGAGCUGCACAGGAAAUGAUGCUGUCUUUAGCAGGGAGGUUUAAUUAGCCUCAACAAAUGAUUCACAUAUACUGUGAUUUUCAAGCCAGACUUUAGCUGCUUUUUGAUGUUAAUUAAUUUUUUCAUCAUACAUAAAAUUACUCUUAUAUGCUGCCAAAAAGGAAAAAUUUAGAAAGACUUUUAAAGCUACUGAAAAAAACAAAUAAGAAGGAUGACAUUAGAUAGAUGGAAAUGCAACUAAUUGGAAAUUGAAAGUGUAAUCACUGAAAUAUGCAGCAGUUUGCUUAUACUGCAUGCUUAAGUGUUCAUAUACAAAGAUACACAAUAUUUAGAUGUUUAGUAAUAUGAUUUUCCGUGUGUAUUUAAUUAGAAAAGACAAGCUGGUAAAUAUCUUAUGAUUAUACAUGAUAGUUAAAAUUUCCCAUCACUGAAAAGUCUAAUUUUUCCUCCAGCACAUCUUCAAUAUUCCAUAUUUUCUGAUGCAUUCCUACAUUUCUAAAACCAAGGCAUAUCUUCACUACAUCCAGUUACGCUUUGAAAUACAUUUUUGUUGACAAAAAUGUUAUAAAUAGAAACAUUUUCAACCAGAGUUCAUUGAUUAUAUGUAUAGAAACACCUUUCAAAUUGUUUAUAUGUAUGAUUCAAUAUUCAUUUCUACAUUUUGGGGUCGUACAUGUACCGACAAACAACAUGAAAUGAGGCUGUGAUCAGCCACAGACUUACAUUAUCAUCUAUAAUUGCCUAACAGAUGCCUUACAAUAUUUCUUAUUUUUUCUACAUACAAAUAACAACACAUGAAUUUAUAUAUGUAUAUUCAAAUUGUAUUAAUCUAUGCAUAUCAUAUAAUUAGGAUGUCUACUAUUAAAAAAACAACAAAAAACAAACAAGGUAUGUCAGUAUGUGAUUACUUCAUUCUCAUAUUGAUAUAGUUUUUAUCUUCGCUCUUUGCUACAGCAGCCAAACAGAUUCUGUUGGUCCCGGUGUGCCACCCAGAGACUUUCAGUGGGCCCAUCUCGGCACCCCUGUUAAAGCUCCCACCCAGCAGGUUGCAUUUAGUGGCCUUAUAAUGCGCAUUACCAAGUGUUGAGCAGCAGGUGUCACCAUCUGUGUGUGCUUGGCUGUCGUAUUUUUCCUCUGAUCUUGUAUUUUUGGAAGACUUUGUUAGUGUCUCAUUCCAUUUCAAAGGAUAUAUGAACUUUCUGGUCAGUAUCAGGAUGGUUAAGUGAUGUAUUUUUAACCAAAGAUUUCUGGUGCGUCAGUUUUUGUUAUGCGAACCAAAUUCAACCCUUUUCCAUGUAAAAUUUGCUGUCUGUAUUUUUCAUAAAGUGAUGAAAAUGUCCUGGUUUUAAUUGUUUUUUGUUGGGCUACUAAAUUGAACUAAAACUAACAAAUAUUUUUUAUUAGUUAUUUUUUUCUAAGUUUGCGACAGCUGUUUUUGUUCAAGAUAUAUUGUUAAUAUAGCGGAUGUAUUUUUUAGUUGUUUUUUUCUAAUACAGAAGCGAUAUCAUUUCUAUCAUUAUUUAAUUUGUUAGUUUUGAAACUUGUUAUAAUAAAACACGUAGAGUAACCUCUGAGAAGCCUGUCUGAAUUUGUGUCUUUGGUUAUAGACAUCCAUCCAUCCAUCCAU